AGUUUGAUCCUGGCUCAGGAUGAACGCUGGCGGCGUGCCUAAUACAUGCAAGUCGAGCGAACAGACGAGGAGCUUGCUCCUUUGACGUUAGCGGCGGACGGGUGAGUAACACGUGGGUAACCUACCUAUAAGACUGGGAUAACUUCGGGAAACCGGAGCUAAUACCGGAUAAUAUUUAGAACCGCAUGGUUCGAUAGUGAAAGAUGGCUUUGCUAUCACUUAUAGAUGGACCUGCGCCGUAUUAGCUAGUUGGUAAGGUAACGGCUUACCAAGGCAACGAUACGUAGCCGACCUGAGAGGGUGAUCGGCCACACUGGAACUGAGACACGGUCCAGACUCUACGGGAGGCAGCAGUAGGGAAUCUUCCGCAAUGGGCGAAAGNCUGACGGAGCAACGCCGCGUGAGUGAUGAAGGUCUUCGGAUCGUAAAACUCUGUUAUUAGGGAAGAACAAAUGUGUAAGUAACUAUGCACGUCUUGACGGUACCUAAUCAGAAAGCCACGGCUAACUACGUGCCAGCAGCCGCGGUAAUACGUAGGUGGCAAGCGUUAUCCGGAAUUAUUGGGCGUAAAGCGCGCGUAGGCGGUUUUUUAAGUCUGAUGUGAAAGCCCACGGCUCAACCGUGGAGGGUCAUUGGAAACUGGAAAACUUGAGUGCAGAAGAGGAAAGUGGAAUUCCAUGUGUAGCGGUGAAAUGCGCAGAGAUAUGGAGGAACACCAGUGGCGAAGGCGACUUUCUGGUCUGUAACUGACGCUGAUGUGCGAAAGCGUGGGGAUCAAACAGGAUUAGAUACCCUGGUAGUCCACGCCGUAAACGAUGAGUGCUAAGUGUUAGGGGGUUUCCGCCCCUUAGUGCUGCANNNAACGCAUUAAGCACUCCGCCUGGGGAGUACGACCGCAAGGUUGAAACUCAAAGGAAUUGACGGGGAUCCGCACAAGCGGUGGAGCAUGUGGUUUAAUUCGAAGCAACGCGAAGAACCUUANCAAAUCUUGACAUCCUUUGACCCUUCUAGAGAUAGAAGUUUCCCCUUCGGGGGACAAAGUGACAGGUGGUGCAUGGUUGUCGUCAGCUCGUGUCGUGAGAUGUUGGGUUAAGUCCCGCAACGAGCGCA
This 1110-nucleotide ribosomal RNA is filed under the name Staphylococcus sp. Its description in RNAcentral is "bacterial SSU rRNA". It matches the Rfam family "Bacterial small subunit ribosomal RNA", at positions 10 to 1100 of the family's 1533-position model. Lineage: Bacteria; Bacillati; Bacillota; Bacilli; Caryophanales; Staphylococcaceae. The record is from RNAcentral.